Molecule: ribosomal RNA, 642 nt
Filed under: Triticum aestivum (bread wheat)
Lineage: Eukaryota; Viridiplantae; Streptophyta; Magnoliopsida; Poales; Poaceae
Description: partial small subunit ribosomal RNA
Source: RNAcentral
AUGUAUUUGGCGAGUGCCACGAGGCCUGACAUCUCCUUUGCUGUGAGCAAGCUGAGUCGGUUUGUGUCAAAACCGGGAGAUGAUCAUUGGCGUGCGCUUGAGAGAGUUAUGUGCUACUUGAAGGGCACUGCGAGCUAUGGGAUUCACUACACCGGGUAUCCAAGGGUACUGGAGGGUUAUAGUGACUCGAACUGGAUAUCUGAUGCUGAUGAGAUUAAGGCCACAAGUGGUUAUGUUUUUACACUUGGUGGUGGCGCUGUUUCCUGGAAGUCUUGCAAGCAGACCGUCUUAACGAGGUCAACUAUGGAAGUAGAAAUCACAUCAUUAGACACUGCCACUGUUGAAGCAGAGUGGCUUCGUGAGCUAUUGAUGGACUUACCUAUGGUUGAAAAACCAAUACCCCCUAUCAUGAUGAACUGUGAUAAUCAAACUGUGAUCGUCAAGAUAAACAAUUCUAAGGACAAUAUGAAGUCCUCAAGGCAUGUGAAGAGGAGAUUAAAAUCUGUCAGGAAACUGAGGAACUCCGGAGUUAUUACAUUGGAUUAUAUACAAACGUCGAAAAUCUUGGCACAUCCCUUCACAAAGGGUCUAUCACGUAAUGUGAUAGAUAAUGCAUCGAUGGAGAUGGGUCUGAGACCCACC